Molecule: ribosomal RNA, 481 nt
Filed under: uncultured Desulfobulbus sp.
Lineage: Bacteria; Pseudomonadati; Thermodesulfobacteriota; Desulfobulbia; Desulfobulbales; Desulfobulbaceae
Description: bacterial SSU rRNA
Rfam family: Bacterial small subunit ribosomal RNA
Source: RNAcentral
AGGAAGUUGACGGGGCCCGCACAAGCGGUGGAGUAUGUGGUUAAUUCGAUGCAACGCGAAGAACCUCACCUGGUCUUGACAUCCCGGAGACCCUUAGGAAACUAGGGGUGCUUCCAUCUGGAAGAAUCUGGAGACAGGUGCUGCAUGGCUGUCGUCAGCUCGUGUCGUGAGAUGUUGGGUUAAGUCCCGCAACGAGCGCAACCCUUGCCUUUAGUUGCCAGCAGUUCGGCUGGGCACUCUAAAGGGACUGCCGGUGUUAAACCGGAGGAAGGUGGGGAUGACGUCAAGUCCUCAUGGCCUUUAUGACCAGGGCUACACACGUACUACAAUGGCCGAUACAAAGGGCAGCGACACUGCGAGGUGAAGCCAAUCCCGUAAAAUCGGUCUCAGUCCGGAUUGGAGUCUGCAACUCGACUCCAUGAAGUUGGAAUCGCUAGUAAUCGUGGAUCAGCAUGCCACGGUGAAUACGUUCCCGGGCCUU